This 66-nucleotide transfer RNA is filed under the name Pilsbryoconcha exilis. RNAcentral describes it as "tRNA-Thr". The record is from RNAcentral. Lineage: Eukaryota; Metazoa; Mollusca; Bivalvia; Unionida; Unionidae.
GCUUUGCGAAGCUAACUUAGCAUCGGUCUUGUAAACCGAAGACAAGAUAUAAACCUCUCCAAAGCU